This 2210-nucleotide ribosomal RNA is filed under the name metagenome. RNAcentral's name for it is "bacterial LSU rRNA". It matches the Rfam family "Bacterial large subunit ribosomal RNA", at positions 14 to 2318 of the family's 2925-position model. The record is from RNAcentral.
AGAGCAUAUGGAGAAUGCCUUGGCAUUGGGAGCCGAUGAAGGACGUGGUUAACUGCGAAAAGCUGCGGGGAAUUGUAAGCGAGUUAUGAUCCGCAGAUGUCCGAAUGGAGCAAUCCGUAUAAGUGAAGCUUAUACAUCGUAUACUGAAUAAAUAGGUAUACGAGGGGAACCGCCUGAACUGAAACAUCUAAGUAGGGCGAGGAAGAGAAAUCAAAAGAGAUUUCGUGAGUAGUGGCGAGCGAAAGCGAAAGAGGCCAAACCGUGAGUAGAAAUACACACGGGGUUGAGGACUGCAAUAUUGUAUCCGAAGUUUUAAUUGAAGUGCAUGGGAAGGCACACCAGAGAAUGUGAGAGUCAUGUAAAUGAAAAGAUAACGGAGCAAGCAGGAUCCAGAGUACUGCCGGACACGAGAAAUCCGGUGGGAAGCCGGGGGGACCACCCUCCAAGCCUAAAUACUACCCAAUGACCGAUAGCGAAUAGUACUGUGAAGGAAAGGUGAAAAGAACCCCGGGAGGGGAGUGAAAAAGAACCUGAAACCAUAUGCUUACAAGCACAUAGAGCACGUCAAGGUGUGAUAUGGUACCUAUUGUAGAAUGGUCCGGCGAGUUAUCUUAAUGAGCAAGGUUAAGAACUUAAGGUUCGAAGCCGAAGCGAGAGCAAGUCUUAACAGGGCGUUAAGUUCAUUGAGAUAGACCCGAAACCGAGUGACCUAGCCAUGUCCAGGCUGAAGUGGAGGUGAAACUCCAUGGAGGGCCGAACCGACCCCCGUUGAAAAGGUGGCGGAUGAGGUGUGGCUAGCGGAGAAAUUCCAAUCGAACUCGGAUAUAGCUGGUUCUCCUCGAAAUAGCUUUAGGGCUAGCGUUGUGAAUGAUUACCGGAGGUAAAGCACUGAAUGGGCUAGGGGACGAAAGUUUACUGAACCCUAUCAAACUAAGAAUGCCGGAUAAUAGAGAUCACAGCAGUCAGACUGUGUGAGAUAAGUCUCAUAGUCAAAAGGGAAAGAGCCCAGACCCACAGCUAAGGUCCCAAAAUAGAUUUAAGUGGAAAAGGAUGUGGGGUUGCCCAGACAACCAGGAUGUUGGCUUAGAAGCAGCCAAACAUUAAAAGAGUGCGUAAUAGCUCACUGGUCGAGUGACCCUGCGCCGAAAAUUCAUCGGGGCUAAAAUGUACACCGAAGCUUGGGAUGAUGACUUUGUCAUCGUGGUAGGAGAGCGUCGUAUAAGGGGUGAAGUCAGAGCGGAAGCGCUGGUGGACUUUAUACGAGUGAGAAUGCCGGAAUGAGUAGCGAGAAUUAUGUGAGAAUCAUAAUGGCCGAAAAUCUAAGGUUUUAGGAGGAAGGUUCGUCCGCUCCUAGUAAGCCGGGAGCUAAGGUGAGGCGGAAACGCGUAGCCGAUGCACAUACGGUAGAAAAUCCGUAGCCUCCAAAAUAUUUAAGCACAGUGACACUAGGAAAGUCUUUAGCCGGGUGAUGGUUACCCCGGUCGAAAGGGACUGCGAAAGCGGGAAGUAAAGAUGGACAGAGGCGAGAAAAGCUGUGUGUAUAUAUGAGGAGCCCGUACCGCAAACCGACACAGGUAGACAGGAAGAGAAUUCUAAGGCCAACGGGAGAAAGGUUGUUAAGGAACUCGGCAAGUUGACCCCGUAACUUAGGGAUAAGGGGUGCUCAAGAAAUUGAGCCGCAGAGAAUAGGCCCAAGCGACUGUUUAGCAAAAACACAGCUCUAUGCUAAAUCGAAAGAUGACGUAUAUGGGGUGACACCUGCCCGGUGCUGGAAGGUUAAGAGGAGAAGUGAGAGCUUUGAAUUGAAGCCCCAGUAAACGGCGGCCGUAACUAUAACGGUCCUAAGGUAGCGAAAUUCCUUGUCAGGUAAGUUCUGACCCGCACGAAUGGCGUAAUGAUCUGGGCACUGUCUCAACAACCCGCCCGGCGAAAUUGUAGUACCGGUGAAGAUGCCGGUUACCCGCGACUAGACGGAAAGACCCCAUGGAGCUUCACUGUAGCUUAAUAUUGGAUUUCGGUAUUUCAUGUACAGGAUAGGUGGGAGACAAGGAAGCAAGUGCGUCAGCAUUUGUGGAGUCGAUGUUGGGAUACCACUCUUGAAGUGCUGGAAUUCUAACCUGCGGCCAUGAAACUGGUCGGGGGACAAUGUUAGGUGGGCAGUUUGACUGGGGCGGUCGCCUCCAAAAGAGUAACGGAGGCGCUCAAAGGUU